CCUACGGGUGGCAGCAGUGGGGAAUAUUGGGCAAUGGGCGCAAGCCUGACCCAGCAACGCCGCGUGAAGGAAGAAGGCUUUCGGGUUGUAAACUUCUUUUAAGAGGGAAGAGCAGAAGACGGUACCUCUUGAAUAAGCUACGGCUAACUACGUGCCAGCAGCCGCGGGAAUACGUAGGUGGCAAGCGUUGUCCGGAUUUACUGGGUGUAAAGGGCGUGUAGCCGGGCUGAGAAGUCAGAGGGGAAGUCCCGUGGCUCAACCACGGGAAUGCAUUUGAAACUGUCGGUCUUGAGUAUCGGAGAGGCAGGCGGAAUUCCGAGUGUAGCGGUGAAAUGCGUAGAUAUUAGGAGGAACACCAGUGGCGAAGGCGGCCUGCUGGACGACAACUGACGGUGAGGCGCGAAAGCGUGGGGAGCAAACAGGAUUAGAUACCCUUGUAGUC
Molecule: ribosomal RNA, 442 nt
Filed under: uncultured bacterium
Lineage: Bacteria
Description: partial 16S ribosomal RNA
Rfam family: Bacterial small subunit ribosomal RNA
Source: RNAcentral